AACUCUCCCGACCUCACCCCCACCCCUCUGUCAACCUCCUCUCCCUCAAAAAAAAAAAAAAAACAGAGCACGACCGGGGCCUCCACCGCCGCUCCAUGCCCCCAUCCUCCUCCGCCGCCACACCGCUCCCCGUCGCCGCCCCUAGACGCCCUUGCCUGCGCGCUCCUCGCCGUCCCCACGAAGCCCUCACUGGCACGCUCCGUGAGUCCCUCCCUGCCCCCUCGCCAGAUCUCCCCCCGACCACUAUACUUCUCUCGCUGCACCGGCGGCCCUCCCCAUCACCCUUGUCGCCUCCCACGACGCCCUCACCUAUGCGCGUGUCGCUGCCCCAACGAAGCCCUCGCCAGCACGCUCCUGGCCUCCCUCCCUGCUCCCCCCAUGGCACACCAUAAGCGCACACGAGGGGCGGCAUCAACUUCCCCCCAUGGCAGACCAGGAGCAGCCCCUCCCUCGACUACGCCGCGGCAUUGAGAGCCGGGGCCUUCGGAGCUGGGGGAGCCGAGCUCCGCGGCGGGCGGCGGGGAGGCGCGGGUGAUGUGGGACGACCCCGUGGUAGCGGAGACGGGGGAGGCGCCCAACGCAGUGGCGCAUCCGUUCGACCCCAAGCUGGUGUCCAGCAGCCGCCGGCAAGCAGGUGAUGGCCUCUGCGACGUGUUGUUGUUGUUUCUUGGAGUUCUUGGAGUCUCUAGAGUGCGUUCUUGAGCUUUUGGCCUUUUGGGAACUGCUGGACACUACAACGCCACGGCCACAACAGAGCGAGCCGCACGAAUCGAUUCACCACAGUGAGGCAUAGACCGAAACCUAGCUUGCUUCGUCGAUUCGCGGCGGCGGGGAUGGCGACCGGCGUGGGGCCGUGGGCUUGUGUCGACCGGCGCUGCUGCUGCGCUGCUAGCGGGUGGCCGGUCGGGCGGUCGGCGGUCAUCCUCACAUCCUGUUGGAGGCUUGGAGAUCUCACCUCUGACUCGAGGUCUGAGCCUCUCGGCCUCUCGCCUCUUUAUGUUGAUAACCGGAGUAGUCCUACUGUAAAUUGAGCUAGCUCUAGUGUUAAUGUGUAUGUAUAUUACUGGUUGCUCUUGUUGCGCUGUCAGGUGAAAGCAGUUCUCCUGUAAUCCCGAGUUUCGGUCAUAUGGUUCUGAACUUCUGAUAUUAGCAUAUAUGCUUUCUUUUAAACUGGGUGGAUGUUGGUUGGCAUAUAGUAUGAGUAGUUCUUAUCUUCCUUUUAAAUUCCUUUGAAGUGGUGCUUUGUACUGACUAAUGAUGAUACUAGUUAUUUGCUACUGCUCCUAAUGCUCUAGUAGAAGAGGCUACUGAAGGGCACACCCAAGAACAGGGGGCUGCUCCAGAACAAGAAGCAUGUGCAAGUCUAGUGUAGACAAACAAGACAUCUGGACGAGAAGAAAAAGAACUGCAAGGCUGGUAAGGUCGAGACUCAUCUUGAAUUCCCUGGAUGUGAAAAGGUUAAAUUUGGUGAAGUUGUCAAAGCUCCACCAAAGUUAUCAUUCCCAAAGGUGCCUUCUCUACUCAAAACUUUUUAUGUUAUUAGAUUUGGUCGGAUUCAUAUGAAGGGUUGACUGAACUUUUGAAGGACGCCCCAUAUGCUUCAGUGCUUGUAUGUUUGUCUUAAAUUCUUAUGGUCUGAUCUCUGCCAAUAUGAAUUUGAUUGUUGGAAUUUGUUGUUACCAAAUAGAUCACUUUUGAGCCAUUUAGAAAUGAGAAGUAGACUUCUUGUAAAUGUUAAUUUGGUGUACAGGAUUUGACAAAAAAAUGUUAUAUGAUGAUUGAAUGAUAUUUUUAACAACCAAAGUGAUGUUUGACAUUGAGCUUUCUUAUUCUUGCAGUACACUGUUAAUAGUACUAUUUCGUUGAACUGAUGCAAUUUGCGUACUAACAAGUUUUCACUUUCCCGACACGGGCGUAGAGGUGAUCGACAGGUGAUCGACGCUGACAAGCGCGGCCCGGUGGCGCUGUGCUCUUCAACCAGUUAGAGGUGGACUUCACCGUGAAGCCCGAUGGCCACGUCGCACAGAUGAUCGUCCAGGUGAUUUCGACGCCGGAGGUCGCCGAUGUGGAGGACCUUGACGCCACCGUCCGCGAGAGGGAGUAUUCGUGUCCAGCGGCGUCUGAACUCCUAGCCUUGUGGAUACAUCUAGAGAGGUGGUCUGUUUAGGUUGGUCAUAGGGAAGGUACCCACCUUAUGAUGAUGGUUGUGUGUGUCUGAUGUUAAAUGAAAGCUUGAGAUGGUUCUGUGAGUUGGUUUGGUUUGCACUGGACGUAUUACCAUUCAUGAGUACUACAUCUUAUUUUUA
Long non-coding RNA from Triticum aestivum (bread wheat), 2306 nucleotides. RefSeq lists it as uncharacterized. The record is from RefSeq and is a predicted model, not a curated record. Lineage: Eukaryota; Viridiplantae; Streptophyta; Magnoliopsida; Poales; Poaceae. The transcript has 2 exons.